RNAcentral lists this ribosomal RNA (484 nucleotides) under uncultured bacterium. RNAcentral describes it as "partial 16S ribosomal RNA". It matches the Rfam family "Bacterial small subunit ribosomal RNA", at positions 30 to 507 of the family's 1533-position model. The record is from RNAcentral.
AUUGAACGCUGGCGGCAGGCCUAACACAUGCAAGUCGAGCGGAUGAAGGGAGCUUGCUCCUGGAUUCAGCGGCGGACGGGUGAGUAAUGCCUAGGAAUCUGCCUGGUAGUGGGGGAUAACGUCCGGAAACGGGCGUUAAUACCGCAUACGUCCUGAGGGAGAAAGUGGAGGAUCUUCGGACCUCACGCUAUCAGAUGAGCCUAGGUCGGAUUAGCUAGUUGGUGGGGUAAAGGCCUACCAAGGCGACGAUCCGUAACUGGUCUGAGAGGAUGAUCAGUCACACUGGAACUGAGACACGGUCCAGACUCCUACGGGAGGCAGCAGUGGGGAAUAUUGGACAAUGGGCGAAAGCCUGAUCCAGCCAUGCCGCGUGUGUGAAGAAGGUCUUCGGAUUGUAAAGCACUUUAAGUUGGGAGGAAGGGCAGUAAGUUAAUACCUUGCUGUUUUGACGUUACCAACAGAAUAAGCACCGGCUAACUUCGUG